UACGGAGGAUCCGAGCGUUAUCCGGAUUUAUUGGGUUUAAAGGGUGCGCAGGCGGGAUGUUAAGUCGGCGGUGAAAUUUUGCAGCUCAACUGUAAAAGUGCCUUCGAUACUGGCUUCCUUGAGUGUGGAUGAAGUAGGCGGAAUUUGUGGUGUAGCGGUGAAAUGCUUAGAUAUCACGAGGAACUCCGAUUGCGCAGGCAGCUUACUAAUCCAUCAUUGACGCUGAGGCACGAAAGCGUGGGGAUCAAACAGGAUUAGAUA
Molecule: ribosomal RNA, 261 nt
Filed under: uncultured prokaryote
Description: partial 16S ribosomal RNA
Rfam family: Bacterial small subunit ribosomal RNA
Source: RNAcentral